Molecule: unclassified non-coding RNA, 257 nt
Filed under: uncultured Lactarius
Lineage: Eukaryota; Fungi; Basidiomycota; Agaricomycetes; Russulales; Russulaceae
Description: sequence contains ITS2
Source: RNAcentral
AUAUCUCAACCUUCUCGGUUUCUUCUGGACACCGAAGGAGGCUUGGACUUUGGAGGCCUUUGCUGGCGUCUCGUCAGCUCCUCUCAAAUGAAUUAGCGGGGUCCUCUUUGCCGAUCCUCGACAUGUGAUAAGAUGUUUCCAUGUCUUGGUUUCUGGCUCUGUUGCUUUUGGGACCCGCUUCUAACCGUCUCAACCUUGCAUCGAGACAACGUUCGAGUGUGUCUCCCUUCUCGGGGAACUCUCUCGAACCCACGAAC